GCUUAAUUUGACUCAACACUGGAAACUUCACCCAGCCUGGACAUGGACAGGAUUGACAUUGAAAGCUCUUUCCCAAUUCUGUGCAUGGUGGUGCAUGGCUGUUCUUAUUCAGUGGAGUAAUUUGCCUGGUUAAUUCCUAUAAUGAACAAAACUCUGGCAUGCUAACUAGUACAUGACUCCCAAGCUAGAAGCACCCAAAUACAUAAAGCAGUUAAUAACAAACAUAAAGGAACUAAUCAAUAAUAAUACAAUAAUAGUAGGGGAUUUUAUAUCACACUUACAUCAAUGGAAAGAUCAUCUAAACAGAAAAUCAACAAGGGAACAAUGGCUUUCAAAGACAUAAUGUA
Molecule: non-coding RNA, 347 nt
Organism: Ailuropoda melanoleuca (giant panda)
Lineage: Eukaryota; Metazoa; Chordata; Mammalia; Carnivora; Ursidae
Source: Rfam